CAUCAAGUUUCCAAGGGCUGUGGCCAUUAAUGGCCAUGGGAUCUCCAACUGCAUGCUACAGCAACCCGGAGAGACUUUGACAGCUCAGGUCAACAUAGUGCCUACGGCUGCCACUCGCCUUUCCUAUAAAG
Molecule: small nucleolar RNA, 131 nt
Filed under: Jaculus jaculus (lesser Egyptian jerboa)
Lineage: Eukaryota; Metazoa; Chordata; Mammalia; Rodentia; Dipodidae
Description: Small nucleolar RNA SNORA44 (ENSJJAG00000006465.1)
Rfam family: Small nucleolar RNA SNORA44
About the family: ACA44 is a member of the H/ACA class of snoRNA that guide the sites of modification of uridines to pseudouridines.
Source: Rfam by way of RNAcentral